RNAcentral lists this ribosomal RNA (488 nucleotides) under Enterobacteriaceae bacterium 'ARUP UnID 318'. RNAcentral's name for it is "bacterial SSU rRNA". It matches the Rfam family "Bacterial small subunit ribosomal RNA", at positions 27 to 504 of the family's 1533-position model. Lineage: Bacteria; Pseudomonadati; Pseudomonadota; Gammaproteobacteria; Enterobacterales; Enterobacteriaceae. The record is from RNAcentral.
GAUUGAACGCUGGCGGCAGGCCUAACACAUGCAAGUCGAGCGGCAGCGGRAAGUAGCUUGCUACUUUGCCGGCGAGCGGCGGACGGGUGAGUAAUGUCUGGGGAUCUGCCUGAUGGUGGGGGAUAACUACUGGAAACGGUAGCUAAUACCGCAUAACGUCGCAAGACCAAAGUGGGGGACCUUCGGGCCUCACGCCAUCGGAUGAACCCAGAUGGGAUUAGCUAGUAGGUGAGGUAAUGGCUCACCUAGGCGACGAUCCCUAGCUGGUCUGAGAGGAUGACCAGCCACACUGGAACUGAGACACGGUCCAGACUCCUACGGGAGGCAGCAGUGGGGAAUAUUGCACAAUGGGCGCAAGCCUGAUGCAGCCAUGCCGCGUGUGUGAAGAAGGCCUUCGGGUUGUAAAGCACUUUCAGCGGGGAGGAAGGCGAYAAGGUUAAUAACCUUGUUGAUUGACGUUACCCGCAGAAGAAGCACCGGCUAACUCC